RNAcentral lists this small RNA (739 nucleotides) under Pongo abelii (Sumatran orangutan). RNAcentral's name for it is "retained intron". Lineage: Eukaryota; Metazoa; Chordata; Mammalia; Primates; Hominidae. The record is from RNAcentral.
GGUUCCGGUUGCAUCAGCGUGGGAUUCACGGCGAAAUGAGGCUGUUCGUGAGUGAGGGCGUCCCGGGUUGCUUGCCGGUGCUGGCCGCAGCCGGCAGAGCCCGGGGUAGAGCAGAGGUGCUCAUCAGCACCGUAGGCCCCGAAGAUUGUGUGGUCCCGUUCCUGACCCGGCCUAAGGUCCCUGUCUUGCAGCUGGAUAGUGGCAACUACCUCUUCUCCACUAAUGCAAUCUGCCGAUAUUUCUUUUUGUUAUCUGGCUGGGAGCAAGAUGACCUCACUAACCAGUGGCUGGAAUGGGAAGCGACACAGCUGCAGGUAGGACUAAGGUAUGGGAGAUGUCAGGCAGGCCCUUGCUCUGCGUGGCCAUCCUGACUCAUGUCCCCUGCAUUUUAGCCAACUUUGUCUGCUGCCCUGUACUAUUUAGUGGUCCAAGGCAAGAAGGGGGAAGAUGUUCUUGGUUCAGUGCGGAGAGCCCUGACUCACAUUGACCACAGCUUGAGUCGUCAGAACUGUCCUUUCCUGGCUGGGGAGACAGAAUCUCUAGCCGACAUUGUUUUGUGGGGAGCCCUAUACCCAUUACUGCAAGAUCCCGCCUACCUCCCUGAGGAGCUGAGUGCCCUGCACAGCUGGUUCCAGACACUGAGUACCCAGGAGCCAUGUCAGCAAGCUGCAGAGACUGUACUGAAACAGCAAGGUGUCCUGGCUCUCCGGCCUUACCUCCAAAAGCAGCCCCAGCCCAG